Molecule: ribosomal RNA, 800 nt
Filed under: uncultured bacterium
Lineage: Bacteria
Description: bacterial SSU rRNA
Rfam family: Bacterial small subunit ribosomal RNA
Source: RNAcentral
AGAGUUUGAUCCUGGCUCAGAUUGAACGCUGGCGGAAUGCUUUACACAUGCAAGUCGAACGGCAGCACGGGGGCAACCCUGGUGGCGAGUGGCGAACGGGUGAGUAAUACAUCGGAACGUGCCCAGUCGUGGGGGAUAACGUAGCGAAAGCUACGCUAAUACCGCAUACGAUCUCUGGAUGAAAGCGGGGGACCGCAAGGCCUCGCGCGAUUGGAGCGGCCGAUGGCAGAUUAGGUAGUUGGUGGGGCAAAGGCUCACCAAGCCGACGAUCUGUAGCUGGUCUGAGAGGACGACCAGCCACACUGGGACUGAGACACGGCCCAGACUCCUACGGGAGGCAGCAGUGGGGAAUUUUGGACAAUGGGCGCAAGCCUGAUCCAGCCACUCCGCGUGCAGGAUGAAGGCCCUCGGGUUGUAAACUGCUUUUGUACGGAACGAAACGCGCUGAGUUAAUACCUCGGCGUAAUGACGGUACCGUAAGAAUAAGCACCGGCUAACUACGUGCCAGCAGCCGCGGUAAUACGUAGGGUGCAAGCGUUAAUCGGAAUUACUGGGCGUAAAGCGUGCGCAGGGCGGUGAUGUAAGACAGGUGUGAAAUCCCCCGGGCUUAACCUGGGAACUGCAUUUGUGACUGCAUCGCUGGAGUGCGGCAGAGGGGGAUGGAAUUCCGCGUGUAGCAGUGAAAUGCGUAGAUAUGCGGAGGAACACCGAUGGCGAAGGCAAUCCCCCUGGGCCUGCACUGACGCUCAUGCACGAAAGCGUGGGGGAGCAAACAGGAUUAGAUACCCUGGUAGUCCACG